GGGAAACGGGUUAAUAUUCCCGUACUUGGUGUUACUGCGAAGGGGGGACGGAGAAGGCUAUGUUGGCCGGGCGACGGUUGUCCCGGUUUAAGCGUGUAGGUGUGUGUUCCAGGUAAAUCCGGUUCACUUUAACACUGAGGCGUGAUGACGAGGCACUACGGUGCUGAAGCAACAAAUGCCCUGCUUCCAGGAAAAGCCUCUAAGCAUCAGGUAACAUCAAAUCGUACCCCAAACCGACACAGGUGGUCAGGUAGAGAAUACCAAGGCGCUUGAGAGAACUCGGGUGAAGGAACUAGGCAAAAUGGUGCCGUAACUUCGGGAGAAGGCACGCUGACAC
This 337-nucleotide ribosomal RNA is filed under the name Salmonella enterica. Its description in RNAcentral is "partial 23S ribosomal RNA". It matches the Rfam family "Bacterial large subunit ribosomal RNA", at positions 1420 to 1757 of the family's 2925-position model. The record is from RNAcentral. Lineage: Bacteria; Pseudomonadati; Pseudomonadota; Gammaproteobacteria; Enterobacterales; Enterobacteriaceae.